AUGAACGCUGGCGGCGUGCUUAAUACAUGCAAGUCGAACGGAGACUGUGUAGCAAUACUUAGUCUUAGUGGCGAACGGGUGCGUAACGCGUUGGUGACCUGCCCCGAAGAGGGGGAUAACAGUUCGAAAGGACUGCUAAUACCCCAUGUGGUCAUGGAGGUUAGAGACUCGAUGACUAAAGCACGCCCGAAAGGGCGAUGCACUUCGGGAGGGGCCUGCGUCCCAUCAGCUAGUUGGUAGGGUAACGGCCUACCAAGGCUUCGACGGGUAGGGGACCUGAGAGGGUGGUCCCCCACAUUGGCACUGAAACACGGGCCAAACACCUACGGGUGGCAGCAGUAGGGAAUAUUGGGCAAUGGGCGAAAGCCUGACCCAGCAACGCCGCGUGUGCGAUGAAGGCCUUCGGGUCGUAAAGCACUUUUCUGGGAGAUGAGAAAGGACAGUAUCCCAGGAAUAAGUCUCGGCUAACUACGU
This 474-nucleotide ribosomal RNA is filed under the name uncultured bacterium. RNAcentral's name for it is "bacterial SSU rRNA". It matches the Rfam family "Bacterial small subunit ribosomal RNA", at positions 29 to 506 of the family's 1533-position model. The record is from RNAcentral.